UCUUACUGUCUUAAAAACUCAGAUUCUUUCAUUGAAAUGGCAUUAAGUAAACUUAAGACAAUGCUACAUGGAUUAGAGACUACCUAUAGUGCACCCAACUUGCAGGAUGUCAUUUAGUAUGCGUGUAUUCUUAACCCAACUUGCAGCCUAAUGGCUUUUUAAAGUCAAAACUUCCAUAGUCCUUUUGCAGUAUGAUUUUUGAGGCAUAUGGAGACAGAAUCUGAGCCAAUAUAUUUUAUUCCAAAUGAGGCUCUUUGAUUUCUCACAUGCUUUUGAAAUGUGAUGUUUGUCUACCCUGGAAAACUCUGCCGUUUCAACUCUCUGGAAAGCUAGGAAAGGUUUUGAAUAAUUGUAUCAUGGGUAGUUUUUGGAUUCCACUACUUGUGGGCUACUUCUGCUGGAUAAAUGUGUUGCCUACAUACAGUAUUCUCUUAACCCUGCUUCUCAAAAUCCUAUAUUUUCUGUUGUCAAGUCAAGAAUUACAAAGCCACACUUUGGCAUGGAGAAUACUACUCUACAGUUACUCAUCCUUAAUGACCUGUAGUACAGAAAAGUGAAAACAUUGUGGAGGAGAUAAAUUACCAAAAUAGAAGAUAAGCUGAAAAGGCAAUGGAAAAUAUAUCAUACAUAUCAAAGUUGCUCAUUUAUGCUAUUUUGCCAUAACAAUGCAUACAACUGAAGCACUUCCCUUCUCCAUUGGAGUUUUGUCUCUAGAGGUAUUAAAUAUUAAUCUUAUAAAGAAAAGAAAGCAAAAAAAAAAAACCCUGAACACAUGUUAAUAGGUUAGGGUUUUAAGAGCAAAUCACAAAAGCAGAAUAAGUACUUGGAGGAAAAAAACAGGAAGAGAGAGAAAGAGGGAGAGAGAGAGAGAGGUGGGGUAAAUUGUGGACCCUCCUUUUAAAGAAACAAAAUUUUCCACAGAGUUGCAUUAAUACUUAAAUUGGACUAACUCCAUGUGAAUCCUCGUAAGAAAUACUAUUUCCUUUCAAUUAACUCAUCUAUCCUACAAUUACAUGUCAUGAAAUCUAAAGGCAAAUAUGUUUACCCAGUAAGGGAAUAACAUUCGAGGCAAAAGUGAUGUCACAAACAGAUGGGAAUUCCAAGUAAUACUGAGUCAUGGUUCUAGGGGAAUAAAACAAUUACUUUACAGCUCAGUGCAAUGUAGUAUUUAAAGAAAAGGUAUUUCAAUAGAAUAGCCCAGACAAUUAUUCAACAUUUAACAGAGAUUAUAUUAGUCUAGAUAUGUUAAUUUGGAUUUUAUUCUGUUUUUUAUUUAUGUUAAUAGGUUUGGUUACUGGUUUAAAGAAAUAUUAGAAGUUUAUCUUUUAUUUUUACAAAUAGAUUAACAUUUGUCUUAGAGGGAGUUCUGCCCUUCAUGGAUAAUACCUUUACCUGCUAAAUCUAGAUUUCUUUUUCUAUAGUAAGUUUUAAACCAGUAAUUGAUGUAAAAAGAUGCAACAAAUAAAAUUAUAGCUACUAAUGGGCAUGUAUUUAUUAUACAGUAGGCAAUUUGCAGAAAGUUUUAUGUAUAUUAUUUUUAUUAAUCUUUAUGACAUUGGAAUUCCAUCAGGUAGGCAUUUUGAUUCCCAAGUAAACUAAAGAGAAGAAAACUGAGGCUUAAAGAGGGUAAGUGAUUUGCCAAGGGUCACAGAACAAGUAAGAGGUACAGCUGGAUUCAAAUUUAAGUAUAUCUUGUCCUCAAGUCUUUCCUCUUUAUUUCCUACUAAAACUAAAAAGGGUAAUGGCACAGCAGCUAAUCAUAUUUGAUGUAUUAAAACAUAAAUACUGGUGUCAAAUAUAAGUACUAAAUCAGGCAUCAGUUCCUUCCUACUAAAAACAUUAAAAAACAAUUCAGCAAAAAUUCGUACUCUGCAGGAUCAUAGAGUGCUUUGAUACCCUCAUCUACAGCAGUGUUUCUCAACCUUUUUAUUCAUUGUUGCUCUCCUAAGGGACCUUCUUAGACAUUUUUUUCAUACUUGUCUCCCAAGAAAUUUUAAUACUAUAGAUAUACCAUAUAUCUAUGUACCAUAUGUAUAUCUGUGCUCAUACAUAAAAAGAAUAAGUUUUUGCUCCUUAGAAUAAUUUUUUUGCCCUUUGGGAGCAAUGAAUAUGUAUGAUUUAGAUAUUAUACCUCUAUGUUUCUCCAAAACCUUUCAAGUCACUCUUAUUGCUUACAAUUGUAUGGGCUUAGAGCUUUAGAUUUUUAGCUUAAAGUUUUUCAGUGUGUUAAAAUGCAAAUAUAUAGAAAACGUUGAUGAACCACAACAAGCCAUUUGUAUCCUGGUGUAAAAUAGAAGCUCAGAAAGCCAGUUUGAUAAGGGAAAGGAGAAGAAUGGGAGGUCACUCUGUAUUGGGGCAGGGAAGGGGAAGAGCGGAGAGCCUCUGGUGUUGAAAUGCCUGCGUCACAACUGUACUUCAGUCCAGUCCCGUUGAACAUAUUAACACAAGUAUUUGAAGAAAAGAUGCUAGCUCCUAUUCAUGAUGAACAAGAAAACUUAGUCAUAAGCCACCUUAGUGGCCAUCACCCUAUUAUUGUGUAAAUAUUAGGUUUCCUGCUUGUAAAGAAUUUGCUGUUUGGUUCCUUUCAGGCCUGUUUGCGUGUUCCCAACUGCUAUGUGGCCAAGAAUAAGUAAGUUUAUGUAACGUUCCAAAGAAACUGCUCAAAACCGUGGCUCAUUUUAACUAAGAUAUGAAUAGAAGGCAGAAAUGAAUUCACAAACACUUCUUUCACAUGCACUGCAAAAUAUAACUUUUUACUCCUCCAGGCCAAAAUGGUCUUAACCAUUGAAGUAAUUAUAGCUCACAACUAUAAUUUAAAGUUAGAUCUGGUUGAUUCUAAAUUCACACAGGAAAAUAAUUCACUCAUCUUACUGGAACAUUGACGUAAAUAACUUUAUAAAACCCAUACAGUUUCAGCAAUCCUAGAAAGUGUUGUGAAUCCAAAUAGAAACAGUUGAUAAAUUAAUAAGACAGUUGAUAAAAUAAUUUAGUAAGACAACAAUAAUUGUCUACCAUUUAUUGGUUAAAGUAUUAUGCUUGACACUUUAUAAAUAUUACCUAUUUAAUCGUUACAGCAAUCUUUAAUAUUGGUAUCCUUAUUUACAAAGAAAAUGAGUGCAGAAAGGACAAGUAGUUUUCGUGAAACCACUUGGAAGUGGAGGAGAAGGGUUUUGAACUCCCAUCAUCUCAAGCUCAUGCUUUGCCAUCUCACCACAGUGAAAUGAUGGAAAACUCAAGUCUGCAAACCUUAAAUUUUCAAUCAAAGGGAGGAAACCUUGGGCAAAUGAAGAGGUCAUGGAUAUGAUAUGAAAAUAUUUUAUGAUUUUGCAUGUGAGAAGCUACUGCAUAGAUGAAUUCAACUGCAGGAUCCCUUUUAAAAAAUAUGUAUCUUCAAGAUUGAGUGUGAGCCUUCACAAACUCCUCCUUGUAUCUUAAGUCUGCUGGAGUACUGGCCUGACUCCACUCACUCACUGUGUACUUCGUUUGAAACUAACAAACAAUACAGUGACUGUCAGUAGAUGUUGCCUCCUCAGUCUACAGAGCCAACAAAAAUUAUGGAAAAGUACUGAAGAACUAAUACAGUUUAGACACCAGAGGUCUCACAAGUUAAACCCUCUAUAUAAUACAGAGCCCUCCUGAGAAUCAACUUAAGGUGAAAUGUUUUAAAGAAGAGAUAAUGGUGGUGGUGUGGUGGUACAUGUUGAGCAACCAGCUCUCUGGAGCAACUGAAAAAUACUUCUAAUCUGGCAAAUUCAGCGAGAAGACUGAGUUCCUUAAUUUCUGUCAGCACCAGUGAAAAACUGUCCUAAACUGACCCUGGCUUACAGAUGUACCACUGGAUCUUGGACUAAAUGGUAAUGGUAAUCAUUCUGAGCUUCCAUUAAAAUUCUAAGCCUUCUUCCAUUUUAUUUCUUAUUAACAGCUAUUAUUGUUGUUGUUGUUGUUGUUGUUGUUGUUGUUGUUGUUAUUAUAGCAAAGAAGAACAGCAGAAUGGUUGGUGGAGAUUCCUAUGCUUUCGACCCAUGGCGGGGUCACUAAGUCAGGUGAAUCACCUCCCACCCCUAAAGAUUCCCACCCAGUUAUGCCUUCUAAUGUGCUGUUCACAGUUUAUCAACUGAUUCUGAAAUUCUGAGACUUAACAGUUUUAAACUGA
RNAcentral lists this long non-coding RNA (4153 nucleotides) under Homo sapiens (human). RNAcentral describes it as "HSALNT0307605". Lineage: Eukaryota; Metazoa; Chordata; Mammalia; Primates; Hominidae. The record is from RNAcentral.